This 750-nucleotide ribosomal RNA is filed under the name uncultured bacterium. RNAcentral describes it as "bacterial SSU rRNA". It matches the Rfam family "Bacterial small subunit ribosomal RNA", at positions 8 to 752 of the family's 1533-position model. The record is from RNAcentral.
AGAGUUUGAUCAUGGCUCAGGAUGAACGCUAGCGGGAGGCCUAAUACAUGCAAGUCGAACGGUAACAUGGGUAGCAAUACCUGAUGACGAGUGGCGCACGGGUGCGUAACACGUACACAACCUGCCUUAUACUGGAGAAUACCCCCAAGAAAUUGGGAUUAACUCUCCAUAAUGUUGCGAAAAGGCAUCUUUUUGCAAUUAAAACUCCGGUGGUAUAAGAUGGGUGUGCGUCCGAUUAGAUAGUUGGUGAGGUAACGGCUCACCAAGUCAACGAUCGGUAGCUGGUCUGAGAGGACGAUCAGCCACACGGGCACUGAGACACGGGCCCGACUCCUACGGGAGGCAGCAGUAGGGAAUAUUGGACAAUGGGCGCAAGCCUGAUCCAGCCAUCCCGCGUGAAGGAUUAAGGUCCUAUGGAUUGUAAACUUCUUUUCUCUGGGAAUAAAAAGUGGGAUUCAUUCCUGCCUUGAAGGUACCAGAGGAAUAAGCACCGGCUAACUCCGUGCCAGCAGCCGCGGUAAUACGGAGGGUGCAAGCGUUAUCCGGAUUCACUGGGUUUAAAGGGUGCGUAGGUGGCUUUGUAAGUCAGUGGUGAAAUGCCGGAGCUCAACUCCGGAACUGCCAUUGAUACUGCUUAGCUUGAAUCAAGUCGAGGUGGAUGGAAUAUUACAUGUAGCGGUGAAAUGCUUAGAUAUGUAAUAGAACACCGAUUGCGAAGGCAGUUCACUAGGCUUGUAUUGACACUGAGGC